Molecule: transfer RNA, 74 nt
Filed under: Planctomycetota bacterium
Lineage: Bacteria; Pseudomonadati; Planctomycetota
Description: Planctomycetes bacterium (bioreactor metagenome) tRNA-Gln
Rfam family: tRNA
About the family: Transfer RNA (tRNA) molecules are approximately 80 nucleotides in length. Their secondary structure includes four short double-helical elements and three loops (D, anti-codon, and T loops). Further hydrogen bonds mediate the characteristic L-shaped molecular structure. tRNAs have two regions of fundamental functional importance: the anti-codon, which is responsible for specific mRNA codon recognition, and the 3' end, to which the tRNAs corresponding amino acid is attached (by aminoacyl-tRNA synthetases). tRNAs cope with the degeneracy of the genetic code in two manners: having more than one tRNA (with a specific anti-codon) for a particular amino acid; and 'wobble' base-pairing, i.e. permitting non-standard base-pairing at the 3rd anti-codon position.
Source: RNAcentral
UGGGGGGUCGUCUAAUGGUAGGACAGCAGACUCUGGAUCUGUGAAUGAGGGUUCGAUUCCUUCCCCCCCAGCCA